Long non-coding RNA from Ruditapes philippinarum (Manila clam), 4838 nucleotides. RefSeq lists it as uncharacterized. The record is from RefSeq and is a predicted model, not a curated record. The transcript has 5 exons. NCBI's taxonomy places the organism in Eukaryota, Metazoa, Mollusca, Bivalvia, Venerida, Veneridae.
AGAGAGAGACGCUUGUUUUUGGUUGAGUCCAUUAUGUUUUAUUUAGGGGUGAAAUGUAAAACCUUUAUUUACAAUUUAUAUAACAUUUAAUGUUUUCGGUAAUUUUAAGAUUUGUGUUAAUUCUGGAAUUGUUUCAACAUAUUUUUUCGGGGAUUAAAUUGUGAUUAAAACAAUUAAAGUCAGAACUGCAAUGGAAAUAACUUAGUCCACACCUAUGUUGAUUUGAUCACGUGACAAUGUAAGCCAAUGAAAAAACAUCAACAAACAGGCAGCCAUUAAGGAAGAGAGAGGGUUUAUUUCAGAGCGAUAAUUUAAAUGUACUAGCAAGUUUAAACUGCAUUAUGUGCUUGUGAAGUUUAAAAGUUAAGUGUAGAUGUGUUUAUGGAGUUCAAGUAUUGGUAUUGGCACAACUAAGGCGUUGGGAGGCACAGAUAUAGCGAAGUGUUCAUGUUUGGCUUUGUGGAGUUGAAGAGUCGAUAUUGGCAAAUUUGGAACAUUGGUAGAUUGGGAUAUAGAAAAGUGUGCGUGUUAUUGGCAAAUGUAGAACAUAGGAAGAUAAGGUUAUAGUGCAUUGUGCAGGCACUCCACCAUGCACUCUUGAUGUAGAGUACUCCUACCCUUUGGAUUAUGCCCAGCAAGUGCACUAUCCCAAUUCCCUAUUCUCAAUAUGUUGGUUCAAUAUGUAUUAGGACACCAAGAAAGUUCCAUGAGAUUUGUGUUUGUGCAGAGGGAUCAGGACUUAAUGGAAGUGUCAGUCUCAACAUGCUCUGGAAAGGGGAGAAACAAUGCAACAGGUUGCCAGUAUUGUCCUGCAGACAUCAAGACAUGGUCACAAUAUCCCACUGCUUAUAGAUGAUCUAAAAAGCCAUUGAAAGUCAUUUUAAUAGUAAAACCCCUGAGGCCUGCUGCUAUAAGGACUAAUGCUAUAUUGACUAGUGUGUGGAUCAUAUUAAUUAAUGGUUGCCUAUGUCAGCUUACCAGUAACUUACUUCCAUAAUGUUAAAACUUUUCAUGUGAUUGUGUUUUGUGUAAUACAACAUUUGUCAUGUCACUUUAAGUAUAGAAUUGCAUUGAACAUAUGCAUUUCAUGAAUUGAUCAACUGUAAUCCUGUCUUUAUAAGUUUUUAAAGUCUUGAUUUCAAGAUAAAUAAACAGUUUUAGUUGUUUGUGUGACUAUAUCUCAUUGAAAAUGACUGCAUUAAAUGUGAAGUGAUAAGCUUCAGUACUUGCUGUCAAGUUUUAAAUAUUUUAUACUUUUAGGAUAUGAAAACUAUUUUAUCUAUGACAAUGAUAGAUGAGUGAAUUUUUUAUGUUGAUAUUAGUGUAGAAUGACUUGGUAAAAUUUGCAUUAAUCCUGAACAGAAGCAUCAAAAUCAAAGAAAUUUGCAUGGUAGCUAGGCAACUAAAAUUUCCUUCAGUUAAAAAGGAUUUUUAACAGGAAGAACAUAUUAAUAUUAAAAAGACUCUGUAUGUUUGAUAUCAUUGUAACUCUUUCAGAACUUAAUCUCCUGCAUGCCUGAAAAUUUGGAAAUUUAGAAAUUUAUAACAAAAUAAUAUAUGAUAACUCGAAGUGCAGUGCAGUGCAAAAGAAUUGGUACUGUGAACUUCUUAUUUUUUGAGUAAUUGCCGUUUGUUAAUUUUCAUACUUCAAAUUUUGUCUGGGCCAUUUCUCUUCAACUAUAAAACCUAUGGACUUAAACUUCAUAGAAUGAUAGAUCUCAUUUAGAAAAAGUGCAUUGCACAAGGACUGGUACUUUGAACUUCAUAAUUUUUGAGUUAUGGUCCUUUGUUAAUUUUCAUAUUUUACUUUUGUCCAGGUCAUUAUACCCCCACCACAAAAUGUGGGGGGGGGCUAUAAUGGAUUCGCUUUGUCGCGUCGGUCGGUCGGUCCGUCCGUCUCCAUUUUCGUGUCCGCUCUAUAACUCCUAUACCACUUGAAGGAUUUUCUUCAAACUUGGCUCAAAUGUUCACCUCAGCAAGGGGAUGUGCAGAACCCAUGUUGCCCAUGUGUCAGCUCAAGGUCAAGGUCACAAUUGAAGGUCAAAUAUCAAACACAAUCAUAUAUUAGACAGUAUGUCGUGUCCGCUCUGUAGAUCCUACAAUAAUUGAAAGAUUUUCUUCAAACUUGGCUAAAAUGUUCACCUCAACAAGGGAAUGUGCAGAACUCAUGUUGCCCAUGUGUCAUUUUAAGGUCAAGGUCACAAUUGAAGGUCAAAUAUCAAACAAUCAAAUAUUACACAAUAUGUCGUGUCCGCUCUGUAAGUCCUACACUAAUUGAAAGAUUUUCUUCAAACUUGGCUCAAAUGUUCAUUUCAACAAUGGGAUGUGCAGAACCCAUGUUGCCCAUGUGUCAGCUCAAGGUCAAGGUCACAAUUGAAGGUCAAAUAUCAAACAAUCAAAUAUUACACAGUAUGUCGUGUCCGCUCUGUAAGUCCUACACUUAUUGAAAGAUUUUCUUCAAACUUGGCUCAAAUGUUCACCUCAACAAGGUUAUGUGCAGAACCUAUGUCACUCUUUUGCCGGCUUAAGGUCAAGGUCACACUUGAAGGUCAAAAAUUAACUUAGAAAAUGUUCUUUAAUUUUAACAUAUAUCUGAAUAUUUCUGAAUCUAGAAAAGGUAUUUGCUUGAAACUUAAAAUAUAAAUGAAGUGUCACAAUUAAGAUAUGCUGGUCAAGUUUCAUAACUCUGUAUUGCAUUUUAACAAAGUUGUGCCCCUUUUUAAUCUUCAAAUUUACAUACAAUCAUAUUAGACAAUAUGUUGUGUCCGCUCUAUAAAUCCUUUACUAAUGGAAGAAUUUUCUUCAAACUUUUCUCAAAUGUUCACCUAAACAAGGUUAUGUGCAGAAUCCAUGUCACCUUUGUGCAGGCUAAAGGUCAAGGUCAGACUUGAAGGUCAAAAAUUGACUUAGAAAAUGUUCUUAGAUUAAAACAUGUUCUUGAAAUUAUUUCGGAAACUAGCAUAGGUAUUUGCUUGAAACUUAAAAGAUAUAUGAGGUGUCACAAUUACGAUAUGCAGGUCAAGUUUCAUAACUCUGUAUUGCAUUUUGACAAAGUUAUCCCCCUUUUUAAGUCUUUAAAUUUACAUACAAUCAAUACUAGACAAUAUGUUGUGUCCGCUCUAUAAAUUCUAUACUAAUGGAAGGAUUUUCUUCAAACUUUACUCAAAUGUUCUCUCCAAUUGGGCGAUGUGCAGAACCCAUCAUACCCUUGUGCCAGCUGAAGGUCAAGGCCACACUUGAAGGUCAAAAAUUGACUUAUAAAAGUUUAGUAUAUUGGGAAAAUGAAAGGUUAUUUGUAACUGUUUCGAACAUGAUUUGAUAAUAGAUAUUUUUACUAUUACCUGUACAAUUAGUCUUUUUUUCACCAGAGAUAAUUUCUUUUUAUGUAUUUGUGCCACUUAAGUUAUUCCCUUAACCACCUUUCCAAGUUGUCUUCUGUCAAGGACAUUGGUGGGGGUAUGAAUCGCAUUCAGCGAUAGUUCUAGUUACUCCUAAAGUACAAAAGCUAUGGACAUGAAACUUCAUAGGAUGAUAGAUCUCAAUAAAAAAUGUGCAUUGUACAAGAACCAAUAAUCUGCAUUUCUUAUUUUUGAGUUAUUGCCCUUUAUUAAUUUUUCAUAAAUUAUAAGAGCUAUGGACUUGAAACUUCAUAGGAUGAUAUAUCUUAUUGAUAAGAAGUAUAGUGCAAAGAAAAUGCUGCUCUGCACUUCUUAUUUUUUGAGUUAUUGCCCUUUGUUAUUUUUCUUGUUCUGGCCAUUUCUCCUUAACUACAUUGUUCACAAGGCGACAUAUCCGACUCGUGAAGUUCUGGUUCAUUCAAAUAGCCAGUUGUGCACUUAAAAUUUGUUAAAUUUAAAACAAAAUUAUGGAAUAUAUUGUGGCUGCUUGGCAACACUGAUUGAUUUUAGCUUGACUGUUCGAUUAAAAUAAGUAGAGCUUUUGUAGUCACCCAAACGUCGGUGUAUACGUAACAACUUAUGUCGAAGUUUUUACGAUAUACCUCAAAUAUUUUCAAAGUCCAUUGCCAUAUGGCUUUGAAAAUUUCCACAAUUGUUCGCCAUCAUGAUUCCAACCUGUAGACAGGAGGAGGUGACUGUAUCAAGCAUUUUAGAAUAAUUUUUUUACUUAGUAUUUACGUUAUAAAGUUUUUGUAAUACCUCAAAUAUUUUCAAAGUCCAUUCACAUAUGGCUUUGAAACUUUGUGCACUUAUUCACCAGCAUGACCCUUACCUGUAGACAGGAGCAGGUAACUGUACUAAGCAUUUUGACAGAAUUAUGCCCCUUUUUUCGACUUAGAAUUUACAUUUAACUUUGCAUAUUACCUCAGAUAUUUUCAAAUUCUAUUGACAUUUAGCUUUGAAACAAGUUGAAAUUUUAUACUCUUCUUUGAGAGCAUAAUAGGACUCUCUUCAAGGCGUACUGUAACAUGGUUUUAAAGGAAAAUUAUUCCCUUGUUAACUAAGAAAAUUUUACAUUAUCGAGGCCUUUUUACUGUCAAGCACUAAUAAUAGUCCAGCAUUGCUUCCCUACCUACAGUUCUUGUUUCUAAUUGUUUAGGUAUUAAGUAAACCAGUUAUACAGCAGAUAGAUAGAUAUAUAUUAUAUUAUAUGGAAAUUAACACUUGAUCAAACAAUAACAUGCAGGCAAAAAUACUGAGUUUCUGCUAAAAUUAACAUGGUUUUCUAUCACUAGUCAAGUGUACAGAACCUGUAUGUAAUAUCUUAAAUGAAAGAUUUUUUAAAAGUAAAUAAUAGACAUUGUAAUUUUAUUGAAAAUUAAUUUAUCUCUGCUGCUUUGUUAGCUGUAAUUUGCAAAGUAAUAUGUGAAAACUUUAAAA